AGCUGCUCAUCGCUGGAUUCUUUCGUGGUUGUCCAUGUGGUUCCUGUCCUCCUGGUUCCUGUUUGUUGGAUCUCCUGAGCCUGGAAUCCUCCACCUUCAACACCGUCUGUCAGGUGGAGGAAGAUAAGAGAACCCAGUUGACGAAAAAAGUAAGAACAUUUCUAUCUACAAAACAUAACUAAACAUUUCAGAUGGAGCUGCAUAGAGUUGAGCUGAAAGUUACAAACUGGUUCUGUCUGCUGUCCAUGAUUAUUUUCCUCUUUAACUCUGUUGUCUUUUCUCUUUAUUUCAUUUCUCUGUCAACUCAUGUCACAUGACUUGAGUUGACCAACAAAUAAAACAGAAGACCUGCUCCACCUGCUGAUCUACUGGUUGGAAGAGAUUGUGGAAAAGCGAGACAAGACAACAACUUUUGACUAAUGAGGAGAGAGAAGACACAGAGGACUGAGGAGACGCAGAAAAUCCUGCUGGAAAUCAAUAAAAAUGUUUCCUGAUGGAACAGGGGGACGGCUGAGGACAGGACACAACAUAAAGAGACAGAGACCAUGUGAAGUUGGAUCUCCUGAGCCUGGAAUCCUCCACCUUCAACACCGUCUGUCAGGUGGAGGAAGAUAAGAGAACCCAGUUGACGAAAAAAGUAAGAACAUUUCUAUCUACAAAACAUAACUAAACAUUUCAGAUGGAGCUGCAUAGAGUUGAGCUGAAAGUUACAAACUGGUUCUGUCUGCUGUCCAUGAUUAUUUUCCUCUUUAACUCUGUUGUCUUUUCUCUUUAUUUCAUUUCUCUGUCAACUCAUGUCACAUGACUUGAGUUGACCAACAAAUAAAACAGAAGACCUGCUCCACCUGCUGAUCUACUGGUUGGAAGAGAUUGUGGAAAAGCGAGACAAGACAACAACUUUUGACUAAUGAGGAGAGAGAAGACACAGAGGACUGAGGAGACGCAGAAAAUCCUGCUGGAAAUCAAUAAAAAUGUUUCCUGAUGGAACAGGGGGACGGCUGAGGACAGGACACAACAUAAAGAGACAGAGACCAUGUGAAAUUCAAGGAUGGCCUUUCAACCCUGGAUUUCAUUUAUGCUUUGGAGCUUCAUGCUUCUGUGUUCAGGCCCUUUGUGUGCGGAAAAGCUGACAUCAGAAAUGUGAGAGGAAAUCUUUGAAGUUCAGCUCAGCGAAAAGGGCAGCACCAGACGACAAGAAGAAACCAGACUGCUAGGAUUCUCCUUGAGACAGACCAAACCUCGCUUUCCUGUUCAAACUCUGACAAGAUACCAAAGCCCAAGACAUACGAUCAGUUUCAAAGAAGACAUGAACUUUGAAUUACAAAACUCUUUGGACUUUAUUAAGUUCAAAUACAGAAUCACAAAACAUAAAUGUGGAUGUUGGCCUGUGAAGGCAGAUGUUAACUUGUGAAACCUGCUCUGUCAAAGUUCUGACUCUGCUGCAUUGUGGUUGUUUGACAACCUUUAAAUUUUAGACUCAUUUAUUUCCAAGUCCACCAUGUUUUCUAGUCUUGUGUAGUUUUCCACAUAGGAUUCCCAAGUUAGUGGAUGCACUAGGCCACUGUCUCUGGAGGUCCUCAAACUGUCCCUAAAGACGGUCAUGGCCACAUUGACUGCUGAUUGACUCGGUCAUAAACUGUCCCAAUUCCUCCUGGGAGUCUGGGAACCUACAGUCUGUUCUGCCAAACCCAGGAGUAAAAUAUGCAUCAAAACAGGACACAUAGUUUAGUUAUAUAUUUAUAUUUCUUCAUUCAACUGUCACUACCAACUGCUACGACUAUUGUUGAAAACUGUUGUAAUGUUUAAUUGUAUUUACAUAUAAAUAUUAGAAAUGAAAAUGUUUAUGUCAUCAGAAACUGUUCCAAUAAAAAGUGACAUAUUAUUAACA
Xiphophorus couchianus (Monterrey platyfish) is the source of this 1888-nucleotide long non-coding RNA. RefSeq lists it as uncharacterized. NCBI's taxonomy places the organism in Eukaryota, Metazoa, Chordata, Actinopteri, Cyprinodontiformes, Poeciliidae. The transcript has 6 exons. The record is from RefSeq and is a predicted model, not a curated record.